This 469-nucleotide long non-coding RNA is filed under the name Prunus persica (peach). Its description in RNAcentral is "long non-coding RNA (PPER_LNC007927)". The record is from RNAcentral. Lineage: Eukaryota; Viridiplantae; Streptophyta; Magnoliopsida; Rosales; Rosaceae.
GGGUAUGUAAGAGCCGUUGGAUGUAGAACCGGGUUGAAAUCUAACCCGUUGGAAACCCAACUUCAGUUGAAGAUCUUUCCCUGUUUCCCUCUCUGUGAAAAACUCAAGAACACAAUCCUCUCUUUUUGAAUGUAAAGCAAACCCACAAUUAGAAGGAUCCAAAGCUCCCAAACCCUAUAGUCGCUCCAUUGUCAUCAGCUCCUUGGGAGGCCUGCGAUCUAUGGUAUCCUCGGUAUGACGAUUAAUGGCUCUUACCUAGCUGCUGCCCUGUUUUGAUUCUAUGGCUCAAGUGAAAACCUCUUCUCUUUUUGGUUCAGCAGACAAGAUUCCAGAUGAAAGCAAAGUAGCAUAAUCUCUUUUUGUAGCUAGACGCCGCAGCAACAGUUGUUCCUCGAUUUUGGUAGAGAUGGAGUCUCAAAUACCAAAGAGUCUUCUCUAAUGUUCACCUCAUUCUCUCAAGCUGACUGAC